UAUGCUUCACAUAUGACGCCCUCUACUAAGGAUGCCACCCAAGAAGAUCAGAUAGUCUACUGUGGGAGCAGAGUAAGUCAUUUUCAGUAUGAAAUUACAGCCACUGUCUGGAUUCAACUCCCUUCAAACACAGUGUGUGAUGAUUCAUCCUUUUCUACUCCUAAGGAAGUUCUGUCUGAUAUGCAAUGGGCUGAACGUCCCUGCCUUGUAUCCAAAGACACGUGAAAGGAGGUGUGUUUCAGGGAACUCCACACAGGAUUAAAGGUUUGCAAAGAGUUGGAUACAACUGUGUGUUUUAUAUUAUGACUUCCCAGAAGGCACUAGUGGUAAAGAAUCUGCCUGCCAAUGCAGAAGACAUAAGAGAUGCGGGUUCAAUCCCUGGCUCGAGAAGAUCCCCUGGAGGAGGAAAUGGCAACCCACUCCCCUAUUCUUGCCUGGAAAAUCCCAUGGACAAAGGAGCUUGUUGGGCUACAGUCCAUUGGGUCACAAAGAGGAGGACACAACUGAGCACACACACACGCACACACAAACUGACUUCAUCUGAACUAACGUGGAAAAUCUAACACAUGUACACAUGUACAUAUUUUUGGUCUUCUGGUACCAUAGUCUUCACUUACGU
Long non-coding RNA from Cervus elaphus (red deer), 619 nucleotides. RefSeq lists it as uncharacterized. Lineage: Eukaryota; Metazoa; Chordata; Mammalia; Artiodactyla; Cervidae. The transcript has 3 exons. The record is from RefSeq and is a predicted model, not a curated record.